GACGAACGCUGGCGGCGUGCUUAACACAUGCAAGUCGAACGGAAAGGCCCUGCUUUUGUGGGGUGCUCGAGUGGCGAACGGGUGAGUAACACGUGAGUAACCUGCCCUUGACUUUGGGAUAACUUCAGGAAACUGGGGCUAAUACCGGAUAGGAGCUCCUGCUGCAUGGUGGGGGUUGGAAAGUUUCGGCGGUUGGGGAUGGACUCGCGGCUUAUCAGCUUGUUGGUGGGGUAGUGGCUUACCAAGGCUUUGACGGGUAGCCGGCCUGAGAGGGUGACCGGCCACAUUGGGACUGAGAUACGGACCAGACUCGUACGGGAGGCAGCAGUGGGGAAUAUUGCACAAUGGGCGGAAGCCUGAUGCAGAAACGCCGCGUGCGGAAUGACGGCCUUCGGGUUGUAAACCGCAUUCGCCUGUGACGAAGCGUGAGUGACGGUAAUGGGUAAAGAAGCACCGGCUAACUACGUG
RNAcentral lists this ribosomal RNA (468 nucleotides) under uncultured bacterium. Its description in RNAcentral is "partial 16S ribosomal RNA". It matches the Rfam family "Bacterial small subunit ribosomal RNA", at positions 28 to 507 of the family's 1533-position model. The record is from RNAcentral.